CGGAUGAGUGGAGCUUGCUCCAUGAUUCAGCGGCGGACGGGUGAGUAAUGCCUAGGAAUCUGCCUGGUAGUGGGGGACAACGUUUCGAAAGGAACGCUAAUACCGCAUACGUCCUACGGGAGAAAGUGGGGGAUCUUCGGACCUCACGCUAUCAGAUGAGCCUAGGUCGGAUUAGCUAGUUGGUGAGGUAAAGGCUCACCAAGGCGACGAUCCGUAACUGGUCUGAGAGGAUGAUCAGUCACACUGGAACUGAGACACGGUCCAGACUCCUACGGGAGGCAGCAGUGGGGAAUAUUGGACAAUGGGCGAAAGCCUGAUCCAGCCAUGCCGCGUGUGUGAAGAAGGUCUUCGGAUUGUAAAGCACUUUAAGUUGGGAGGAAGGGCAGUAAGUUAAUACCUUGCUGUUUUGACGUUACCGACAGAAUAAGCACCGGCUAACUUCGUGCCAGCAGCCGCGGUAAUACGAAGGGUGCAAGCGUUAAUCGGAAUUACUGGGCGUAAAGCGCGCGUAGGUGGUUCGUUAAGUUGGAUGUGAAAGCCCCGGGCUCAACCUGGGAACUGCAUCCAAAACUGGCGAGCUAGAGUAUGGCAGAGGGUGGUGGAAUUUCCUGUGUAGCGGUGAAA
Molecule: ribosomal RNA, 624 nt
Filed under: Stutzerimonas stutzeri
Lineage: Bacteria; Pseudomonadati; Pseudomonadota; Gammaproteobacteria; Pseudomonadales; Pseudomonadaceae
Description: bacterial SSU rRNA
Rfam family: Bacterial small subunit ribosomal RNA
Source: RNAcentral